Molecule: ribosomal RNA, 253 nt
Filed under: uncultured bacterium
Lineage: Bacteria
Description: partial 16S ribosomal RNA
Rfam family: Bacterial small subunit ribosomal RNA
Source: RNAcentral
UACGGGGGGGGCAAGCGUUGUUCGGAAUCACUGGGCGUAAAGGGUGCGUAGCCGGGUUUUUAAGUCAGGGGUGAAAUCCUGGAGCUCAACUCCAGAACUGCCUUUGAUACUGAAGAUCUUGAGUCCGGGAGAGGUGAGUGGAACUGCGAGUGUAGAGGUGAAAUUCGUAGAUAUCUGGAGGAAUACCGGUGGCGAAGGCGGCAUCCUGGACCGACAUUGACGCUGAACGGCGAAAGCUAGGGGAGCAAACGGG